RNAcentral lists this small RNA (125 nucleotides) under Marmota monax (woodchuck). Lineage: Eukaryota; Metazoa; Chordata; Mammalia; Rodentia; Sciuridae. The record is from RNAcentral.
ACUGGGCACGGUGGCGCAUGCCUGUAAUUCUAGCAGCUCGGGAGGCUGAGGCAGGAGGAUUGAGAGUUCAAAGCCACCCACAGCAAAAGCAAGGCUCUAAGCAACUUAGUGAGACCCUGUCUCUA